Molecule: ribosomal RNA, 193 nt
Filed under: uncultured Pseudomonas sp.
Lineage: Bacteria; Pseudomonadati; Pseudomonadota; Gammaproteobacteria; Pseudomonadales; Pseudomonadaceae
Description: partial 16S ribosomal RNA
Rfam family: Bacterial small subunit ribosomal RNA
Source: RNAcentral
UCCUACGGGAGGCAGCAGUGGGGAAUUUUGGACAAUGGGGGCAACCCUGAUCCAGCAAUGCCGCGUGUGUGAAGAAGGUCUUCGGAUUGUAAAGCACUUUAAGUUGGGAGGAAGGGUUGUAGAUUAAUACUCUGCAAUUUUGACGUUACCGACAGAAUAAGCACCGGCUAACUUCGUGCCAGCAGCCGCGGUA